GAGUUUGAUCCUGGCUCAGAGCGAACGCUGGCGGCAGGCUUAACACAUGCAAGUCGAGCGCCCCGCAAGGGGAGCGGCAGACGGGAUAGUAACACGUGGGAACGUACCCUUCAGUUCGGAACAACCCAGGGAAACUUGGGCUAAUACCGGACACGUCCGUAAGGAGAAAGAUUUAUCGCUGAAGGAUCGGCCCGCGUCUGAUUAGCUAGUUGGUGAGGUAACGGCUCACCAAGGCGACGAUCAGUAGCUGGUCUGAGAGGAUGAUCAGCAUCACUGGGACUGAGACACGGCCCAGACUCCUACGGGAGGCAGCAGUGGGGAAUAUUGGACAAUGGGCGCAAGCCUGAUCCAGCCAUGCCGCGUGGAUGAUGAAGGCCUUAGGGUUGUAAAGUCCUUUUAACGGGGAAGAUAAUGACGGUACCCGUAGAAUAAGCCCCGGCUAACUUCGUGCCAGCAGCCGCCGUAAG
This 467-nucleotide ribosomal RNA is filed under the name uncultured Alphaproteobacteria bacterium. RNAcentral describes it as "bacterial SSU rRNA". It matches the Rfam family "Bacterial small subunit ribosomal RNA", at positions 9 to 524 of the family's 1533-position model. Lineage: Bacteria; Pseudomonadati; Pseudomonadota; Alphaproteobacteria. The record is from RNAcentral.